ACCGGCGGACGGGUGCGUAACACGUAUGUAACCUGCCUCGUACUAGGGGAUAUACUGGAGAAAUUCGGGGCAACACCCUAUAUACAAUGGGAAUGGCAUCAUUUCAAUUGGAAAGGUAACGGUACGAGAUGGACAUGCGUCUGAUUAGCUAGUUGGUGAGGUAACGGCUCACCAAGGCGACGAUCAGUAACUGGUCUGAGAGGAUGAUCAGUCACACUGGCACUGAGACACGGGCCAGACUCCUACGGGAGGCAGCAGUAAGGAAUAUUGGUCAAUGGACGGAAGUCUGAACCAGCCACGCCGCGUGGAGGAAGAAGGUUCUCUGGAUUGUAAACUCCUUUUGCCUAGGGCUAAUGGUUGGCUAUAUGCCAAAUUGAAAGUACUGGGUGAAUAAGCCACGGCUAACUACGUGCCAGCAGCCGCGGUAAUACGUAGGUGGCAAGCGUUGUCCGGAUUUACUGGGUUUAAAGGGUGCGUAGGCGGUUUGAUAAGUCAGUCGUUAAAGGCAGCAGCUUAACUGUUGUACGGCGAUUGAUACUGUUAGACUUGAAUUAUAGAGAGGUUGUUGGAAUGCGUAGUGUAGCGGUGAAAUGCUCAGAUAUUACGCAGAACGCCAAUUGCGAAGGCAGAUAACUAUCUGUAGAUUGACGCUGAGGCACGAAAGUGUGGGGAGCGAACAGGAUUAGAUACCCUGGUAGUCCACACUGUAAACGAUGAUAACUAGA
RNAcentral lists this ribosomal RNA (725 nucleotides) under uncultured bacterium. Its description in RNAcentral is "bacterial SSU rRNA". It matches the Rfam family "Bacterial small subunit ribosomal RNA", at positions 94 to 820 of the family's 1533-position model. The record is from RNAcentral.